This 424-nucleotide ribosomal RNA is filed under the name uncultured bacterium. RNAcentral describes it as "partial 16S ribosomal RNA". It matches the Rfam family "Bacterial small subunit ribosomal RNA", at positions 360 to 776 of the family's 1533-position model. The record is from RNAcentral.
AAUUUUGGACAAUGGGCGCAAGCCUGAUCCAGCCAUGCCGCGUGAGUGAAGAAGGCCUUCGGGUUGUAAAGCUCUUUCGGACGGAAAGAAAUCGCGCAGGCUAAUACCCUGCGCGGAUGACGGUACCGUCAUAAGAAGCACCGGCUAACUACGUGCCAGCAGCCGCGGUAAUACGUAGGGUGCAAGCGUUAAUCGGAAUUACUGGGCGUAAAGCGUGCGCAGGCGGUUUUGUAAGACAGUGGUGAAAUCCCCGGGCUCAACCUGGGAACUGCCAUUGUGACUGCAAGGCUGGAGUGCGGCAGAGGGGGAUGGAAUUCCGCGUGUAGCAGUGAAAUGCGUAGAUAUAGGAAGGAACAUCAGUGGCGAAGGCGACCACCUGGGCUAAUACUGACACUGAGGUGCGAAAGCGUGGGGAGCAAACAGG